UACUGACUUUCUCUUUGCAUU
This 21-nucleotide non-coding RNA is filed under the name Caenorhabditis elegans. Lineage: Eukaryota; Metazoa; Nematoda; Chromadorea; Rhabditida; Rhabditidae. The record is from RNAcentral.